GGUUGCUUAUACUAGUUGGAGGUUCAUGGGAGUGUCCAUGUGAAGAUGAUUUACAGUGUUGGUAGUUCUAUGGUGAUACGGUCACAUAGAAGUGAAAAUUGCAGCUAAUGAGAUGCUGAUUUUCUGAAUUGGAUUGCCCAGAGAUAAUGAUUAGUUGAUUUUAAUUGAUGCUUUUAAUUAUUUUAUCAUUUUGUUUACGCUUGGAUUAACGGUCA
RNAcentral lists this long non-coding RNA (215 nucleotides) under Mytilus galloprovincialis (Mediterranean mussel). The record is from RNAcentral. Lineage: Eukaryota; Metazoa; Mollusca; Bivalvia; Mytilida; Mytilidae.